GCUUGGAUUCUGAGGUGAAACGUGGGCAGGAGAGGUUGAUAUUACCCUCGGCCCAUCCGGAUAGGCUGGGAGGUUGCGUGAUCUCUCUGUAGAAUCUACAGUGCUCUGAACUCAUGAAUCACCACAGGCUUUGCAAAUGCCAAUCAACUGUCUUAACACUCUCCGGAGAGAAGCCAAGAUUCCCUGCCAGCUUCAAGAUAAUGGGAAUCACAGGAGGCAGAGAGAAGAACCUGAAGCCGCCCAAAACCUCAUCCUCCCAAAGAAGACUCAAUCAACGAAGCAAGAGAAAUCAUUCAGAGAAGGUGCAGGAACGUGCUCCGAGGCUCCAGCCUACCACGUGCAGUAAGAGGGGUGAGUUGGACUGAUCUCACCGUUGGUCCAGUCUGGCCUUGUGGCAAACCGAGUGAACGUAACUGAAUUGGCCCAACCAUAAACGCCCCAAACAAUCAAUGGUACCUAUAAUAAUAAUGGAGAUAUUUGUGCAGUGUUUCCUUUGUGCCAACCACCGUACUAAGAGAUGGGGGAGAUACAUGACUAUCAGGUUCCCCCAUGGGGCUCACAGUCUAAGUAGCAGGGAGAAUAAGGAUUGAACCUCCAUUUUGUAGAUGAGGGAACUGAGGCCCAGAGAUGUGAAGUGACUUGCCCAAGGUCACAGAGCACCCUGCCUGCCCUCACAAGCUCUCGAGCUGCUGCUAGUUUCCCAAGACCUCUACGAGGCCUUUCCA
RNAcentral lists this long non-coding RNA (725 nucleotides) under Ornithorhynchus anatinus (platypus). RNAcentral describes it as "lncRNA (ENSOANG00000047295.1)". Lineage: Eukaryota; Metazoa; Chordata; Mammalia; Monotremata; Ornithorhynchidae. The record is from RNAcentral.